ACACCUGUGGCCGAGUGGUUGAUUGCAAUGAGCUCAUAACUCAUUUUCACAAGAACAACGCUGGUUCGAAUCCAGCCAGGUGUA
RNAcentral lists this transfer RNA (84 nucleotides) under Spumella sp. Baekdong012001B8. RNAcentral's name for it is "tRNA-Met". It matches the Rfam family "tRNA". Rfam says of the family: Transfer RNA (tRNA) molecules are approximately 80 nucleotides in length. Their secondary structure includes four short double-helical elements and three loops (D, anti-codon, and T loops). The record is from RNAcentral. Lineage: Eukaryota; Chrysophyceae; Chromulinales; Chromulinaceae.